This 292-nucleotide ribosomal RNA is filed under the name uncultured bacterium. RNAcentral's name for it is "partial 16S ribosomal RNA". It matches the Rfam family "Bacterial small subunit ribosomal RNA", at positions 505 to 796 of the family's 1533-position model. The record is from RNAcentral.
GUGUCAGCAGCCGCGGUAACACAGAGGUCCCAAGCGUUGUUCGGAUUCACUGGGCGUAAAGGGUGCGUAGGUGGUAGGGUAAGUCGGAUGUGAAAGCUCGGAGCUCAACUCCGAAAUGGCAUUGGAAACUACCUUGCUCGAGGAAUGGAAGGGGGACUGGAAUUCUCGGUGUAGCAGUGAAAUGCGUAGAUAUCGAGAGGAACACCAGUGGCGAAGGCGAGUCCCUGGACAUCUCCUGACACCAAGGCACGAAAGCUAGGGGAGCAAACAGGAUUAGAAACCCGUGUAGUCC